This 254-nucleotide ribosomal RNA is filed under the name uncultured bacterium. RNAcentral's name for it is "partial 16S ribosomal RNA". It matches the Rfam family "Bacterial small subunit ribosomal RNA", at positions 524 to 776 of the family's 1533-position model. The record is from RNAcentral.
UACGGAGGGUGCAAGCGUUAUCCGGAAUCACUGGGUUUAAAGGGUGCGUAGGCGGUUUGAUAAGUCAGUUGUGAAAUUCACCGGCUUAACCGGUAGAACUGCGAUUGAUACUGUUGGACUUGAAUCAGGUUGAGGUAGGCGGAAUGUGGCAUGUAGCGGUGAAAUGCAUAGAUAUGCCAUAGAACACCGAUUGCGAAGGCAGCUUGCUGGACCUAGAUUGACGCUGAGGCACGAAAGCGUGGGGAGCAAACAGG